Molecule: ribosomal RNA, 493 nt
Filed under: uncultured bacterium
Lineage: Bacteria
Description: partial 16S ribosomal RNA
Rfam family: Bacterial small subunit ribosomal RNA
Source: RNAcentral
AUUGAACGCUGGCGGCAUGCCUUACACAUGCAAGUCGAACGGUAACAGGUUAAGCUGACGAGUGGCGAACGGGUGAGUAAUAUAUCGGAACGUGCCCAGUCGUGGGGGAUAACGCAGCGAAAGCUGUGCUAAUACCGCAUACGAUCUAUGGAUGAAAGCGGGGGAUCGCAAGACCUCGCGCGAUUGGAGCGGCCGAUAUCAGAUUAGCUAGUUGGUGGGGUAAAGGCCCACCAAGGCGACGAUCUGUAGCUGGUCUGAGAGGACGACCAGCCACACUGGAACGGAGACACGGUCCAGACUCCUACGGGAGGCAGCAGUGGGGAAUUUUGGACAAUGGGCGCAAGCCUGAUCCAGCAAUGCCGCGUGCAGGACGAAGGCCUUCGGGUUGUAAACUGCUUUUGUACGGAACGAAACGGUUCUCUCUAAUACAGGGGGCUAAUGACGGUACCGUAAGAAUAAGCACCGGCUAACUACGUGCCAGCCGCCGCAGUAA